RNAcentral lists this ribosomal RNA (207 nucleotides) under uncultured bacterium. RNAcentral describes it as "partial 16S ribosomal RNA". It matches the Rfam family "Bacterial small subunit ribosomal RNA", at positions 568 to 774 of the family's 1533-position model. The record is from RNAcentral.
CGUGUAGGCGGCCAGGUGGGUCUGCUGUGAAAACUCGAGGCUUAACCUCGAGAUGUCGGCGGAAACCAUCUGGCUAGAGUCCGGAAGAGGAGAAUGGAAUUCCCGGUGUAGCGGUGAAAUGCGCAGAUAUCGGGAAAAACACCCGUGGCGAAGGCGGUUCUCUGGGACGGUACUGACGCUGAGACGCGAAAGCGUGGGGAGCGAACA